This is a long non-coding RNA of Argiope bruennichi, 301 nucleotides long. RefSeq lists it as uncharacterized. NCBI's taxonomy places the organism in Eukaryota, Metazoa, Arthropoda, Arachnida, Araneae, Araneidae. The transcript has 2 exons. The record is from RefSeq and is a predicted model, not a curated record.
CGCGUUCAAAGAUGCCUAUGUAAAAAUAGAUUAUUGUAAUGCAAUCUAUACUCUUUGAAGUCUUGUCAAUUAUAUCUUUGUAUGAUGCAGAUUUUCGUUUCUUCGGUCUGACAAAGAUUUGCGUUUGGACAGCAACGAUGGUGUUACAGUCAGCUAGGUAAUCCUCCUCCGCGGAAUUCGACGAUUCCUUGUUGACAACGACGACGCUGUCGGCCAGAUUGAUUCCAGCACGGAGCAAGUCAUCGAGACUGUUACAGAAAGAACAUGUUUUUUUAAUAAUAAAUUUAUUUCUUGAAGUGCA